AGCGGGAAGAGCGAUGUCAUGAAUAUCUGGAAGGAAGACAGAGGAAUACUGUGUCACCUGAGGAACAGCAAGCAAGAAACACACCUGGAGCAGAACGCUGCAGUAAGACAAUCCAUCACAGUGAAGGGGAUACUGAGGAACUGCUGAAAGUUAAAUUCACAGGAAUUCAGCCAUAGAACAGGCCUGGGCACAAAGGGCCGGUGUGGCAGCAGGUUUCCUUUCCAACCAAGCAGCAGCAGCAUGCCAGACAACAGACAUCAGGCUUGUUUAACAAGUGGCCAGAGUUUGUCUCUCCGCGUAGGUGAGGUCUUCUGCCAUCCGUAGAUUCUUUUUCUUCAUCACGUCGGAGUUGAGGGAAGCUCUCCAUGGUAAAUUGCAUGAUUUAUUUUCAACUGUGUGGACGGUAUCCACCAGGAAUCCAAGUUUGCUCUUUUCCUCUGGGAAAUUAAUUAAUCUGGGCGAUUAUUUCCAUCACCUCUCUUCUCACAUCUUCGUUGCUGUGCUCCGGGAGAUUUAGAAGAUGGAGGUUCCACUGCCGGCUGUACCUCUGCGCCUCCUCUUGUCUCUCCUGGAGUACAGUCAUCCGCUCCUUCAAUUUCUUUACAGUGUCAUCUGUCUCCUUAAACUGCAUCCCGAGGUCUUUCACAUGUUCCUUCGUUUCUUCUUCAGACAGGUUUCUGAGCCAUUUACACGAGAAGUGAACUCCUCGCCAUCCAAUCACAGAAAAAUGCAAUACCACUUCUAUGUAGCAUAUACUGUUGAUGUACCAUCUCUCCUUCAACGCAACACUUCCACAGGUCAAUGACUCUUUGACUGUGUUUGAUACUGUUGGUAUGGAAACAGCCUCACUGCUUGGAUGUGACUCAUCCAUUGUUGGAGCCAUUGCUAUAAACAUGUGUUGGGUUGCUACGGAUGUGAGCUAUCCAAAGACCCCCCUCUCAAAGAGGCACAUUAACAAACAUAAACUUCAUCAGCUCCUAAUGAGUUUUUGACAUGUAGAUGUUUCAGCAGCUGGAAGCAUCUGUCAUGAGAUGCUUUUAUGUUGUUUUAUGCGUAAUUCCAAAAACAGGUUUUAACAAGCUUCUCGAGUGUCCACAAACUCAAACACAACUCGAUGGUUUUAGAAUGAAACUAAGGCAACCUGAACCAAAGCCCUGGACAAGUUUUCUCACGGGAAAUCUGCAUCUGAUCUAAUGAUGGAGGAGACCUCAAAAAAAUUUGGAGAGUGUUGAAUACACAUGCGGGAAAUUAAAGGGAUCAAUAUGCAGAUGAUUGCAUUGAUGAUGGGUUGGCUGUUCCUGUGUUGAGCAAGACAACAAAGCAGUAACUGGCCACCAUCAAUUGCCAAUUCGGCAAGUAAAAUACAAAUUGUCUGUCAUUCUAUCCAGUAGAUGUUGAGAUACAACUAUUUUACUGGAAAAGCAAAAAUUUUGACCUGCUUGUGGUUGUUAGAGGAAAUCAAAUUAGGAUAUCUACAGCAAAUUUUGUGGCAAUCCAUCCGAUAAUUGUUGAGAUAUUUUAGUCUGAACCAAAGUUCUGGAUCAACCAACAGUCCAACAUUGCAAAUGCUGGGAGCGCCAACUGGAACGCUCACAACGCAUCAGUUUGAGGUAAAAAGGGAGGGAAACACUGACUAUGCUGGAGGAUAAUCACUUGACCAGAUGGAGGAUGGAGGACCUCAAUGAGUCAGGACUUUGGGUUAACAUCUCAUAUCAUCUCAUCUCAAAGGAUGGCAUUGCAUACAGAAGAGUGUCCCUGUCACUAAGCAGAGAAAUUUGGAUUUGAGAGGCAAGACUGACUGGUUCUGGCCCACCAACAAGUCCAGCAGCAAGAGGUUUCCCAUUCGGGUGCUAGCCGAGCCUACAGCUUUAGUUAUUCAGCAGAAACAGGGUACAUAUUGAUAAUCUCAUGAAAACAGACCCAAACAAAUGUAAAUGAAGCUAGAUAUAUCACCUUCCUCAGUUACAGAGGGCUCCGACCAGCAUACAACAUCCUGCUGCCACAGACUAGAGCACCAGAUGUGGAUUCAUCCACCACUGAAAAUAGUCCCCAACAACAAACCGUAACCAGGUGUUUCAGGACAUUCUGAAAAAUUACAAAAAAGACACCACACCUUAGGUUCAAAUCUCACACCCAUGACAGUUUUCUAAAGAGAUGAUGACGCCACAGGGAAACUUAUCCAUCUAACUCAUCUGUUGUUGUUUUGUGAAUGUUCCUGCAGUUGCUCUCACACAAUGAAUUGCAGCUGAACACUAUCCAUCAGCACCACUUUGACAAGCCGGAGCGAGCGUCACAGUCUGGAGCUGAUGCACAGCUACGUUCUUGUUCACACACAACACAACAUGAUGUCAUUGUUAAUGACACCAUGAUGUCAUUGAAAGACCAUAGAGACAUAUGUUGGGAAUUACCUGAGCCCUUCCCAUACAAAGGAAAAACAAGUGGAGCUCAUCCAGCAGCAGCAUUGCUCAGAGACCGGGGUAAAUCUGAGAGCUGUUUCCUUUCAGAGCGUGGACUGCAAUCUGAUCACAGUGCAGGCAGAAUCAACAAACACUCAUUAAAACCAGAAGAUGAAGGGCCCGUCAACAGAUUUCAUCCGAACAAUGUGUCUGAAAUAAACAUGCACGGGUUAGCACGGUGUGGUCAGUACACGACGUUCCAAGCUAUUCAUUAAGGCUGAUAAAGAGUCAGACUCCUUUAAUGUAAUUGUAAUUGUUUUAUUAGUAAGCUCUCUUAACAUUUAUGGAGAUACUUAUUGGACUCAUUGAAGGACUUCAGACUUUUAUAACUACGCCGUAAACUCACCCCUCCGCUGACAGGGCCAUAGCUGUGUCCAGAUUUAUCAGGUUCCUCCAGAUACAACGUGUAGAAAUCUGGUCUGAAGGGG
Molecule: long non-coding RNA, 2884 nt
Organism: Larimichthys crocea (large yellow croaker)
Lineage: Eukaryota; Metazoa; Chordata; Actinopteri; Sciaenidae
Exons: 5
Source: RefSeq, a predicted model, not a curated record